Molecule: ribosomal RNA, 339 nt
Filed under: uncultured Anaerolineaceae bacterium
Lineage: Bacteria; Bacillati; Chloroflexota; Anaerolineae; Anaerolineales; Anaerolineaceae
Description: bacterial SSU rRNA
Rfam family: Bacterial small subunit ribosomal RNA
Source: RNAcentral
GCACAGGUGCUGCAUGGCUGUCGUCAGCUCGUGUCGUGAGAUGUUCGGUUAAGUCCGCUAACGAGCGCAACCCUCACUGUGUGUUAUAUGUGUCACGACGGGACUGGCCGGUUUUAAAGCCGGAGGAAGGUGGGAUGACGUCAAGUCAGCAUGGCCUUUAUAUCCUGGGCUACACACACGCUACAAUGGUCGGUACAAUAGGUUGCCAAGCCGCGAGGCGGAGCCAAUCCAAAAAAGCCGGCCUCAGUUCAGAUUGUAGGCUGCAACUCGCCUGCAUGAAGAUGGAGUUGCUAGUAACCGCAGGUCAGCAAUACUGCGGUGAAUACGUUCCCGGGUCUU